GAUGAACGCUGGCGGCGUGCCUAAUACAUGCAAGUCGAGCGAACAGAUAAGGAGCUUGCUCCUUUGACGUUAGCGGCGGACGGGUGAGUAACACGUGGGUAACCUACCUAUAAGACUGGAAUAACUCCGGGAAACCGGGGCUAAUGCCGGAUAACAUGUUGAACCGCAUGGUUCUACAGUGAAAGGCGGCUUUGCUGUCACUUAUAGAUGGACCCGCGCCGUAUUAGCUAGUUGGUGAGGUAACGGCUCACCAAGGCAACGAUACGUAGCCGACCUGAGAGGGUGAUCGGCCACACUGGAACUGAGACACGGUCCAGACUCCUACGGGAGGCAGCAGUAGGGAAUCUUCCGCAAUGGGCGAAAGCCUGACGGAGCAACGCCGCGUGAGUGAUGAAGGUCUUCGGAUCGUAAAACUCUGUUAUUUGGGAAGAACAAAUGCGUAAGUAACUGUGCGCGUCUUGACGGUACCUAAUCAGAAAGCCACGGCUAACUACGUG
RNAcentral lists this ribosomal RNA (497 nucleotides) under uncultured bacterium. Its description in RNAcentral is "partial 16S ribosomal RNA". It matches the Rfam family "Bacterial small subunit ribosomal RNA", at positions 28 to 507 of the family's 1533-position model. The record is from RNAcentral.